UGAGAAGGCAUCCAAAGGGAUCGCAUUGAUCCUUUAUUUUUUUUCAACCCUUUAUUUUUUUUUCUUUUCAAUUCCCCCCUCCCCCAAAACAAAUUCACAAUUUUGGAUCAUGCUAUCCCUUUGGAUUCCUCCUU
Non-coding RNA from Gossypium hirsutum (cotton), 134 nucleotides. The record is from Rfam. NCBI's taxonomy places the organism in Eukaryota, Viridiplantae, Streptophyta, Magnoliopsida, Malvales, Malvaceae.